Molecule: long non-coding RNA, 7389 nt
Organism: Alligator mississippiensis (American alligator)
Lineage: Eukaryota; Metazoa; Chordata; Crocodylia; Alligatoridae
Exons: 2
Source: RefSeq, a predicted model, not a curated record
CGUGUGCUGAGCAUGGCACACCACUGCCAGCCCAGGCUCUGUGCAGCUGCUGCCAGCCACGGAGCCCAGGCUGCUCCCAGCAGGCGGCAGGGAGGCUGCAAGCCCUGCCUCCGUGGGCCGGCUGCAGCCGGGAGGCUGCAAACAGCUGCUCCAGGCGCACAGGCACCUUCCAAGGUCUCCCUUGAGGGGUGGCAGACUGCGCUUACUGAUGCCAAUGAACGUGCACGCUCGAUGCUGGAGUCAAAGCGGCCAGAGAUGCCACGCAGGUUUCCUCAGCGGUCAGCCGGUCCCAUCCUGUGGAGCUACAGCCCAGGGAGCACCAAGGACUGCCACAGAUACAGGCCCUCUCUUCCUCUUGUGAAUUGGGAGGUGAAAGUCUAGUCUAUUGAACCCCAAUUCGACGUUCGAUAAAAAUCAAUGUCUCUUGUUUUAUAAAGUCUCAAUGCACAACUGUUUUGUUUUGGUAUAGCGCACACCAUUGAAGGGCAUGACUCUGGGACUGAAAAAAGUUACCAAUCCAUUUUAAACAGUGCUCAUUAACUAUGGCAAUCACCUGUAAACAGGUUUGACUACAUGGGCUAAGCUUUGUGGGCCUCAUUAAGACUGCUUACCUUCUUCAGAGACCUCCUAAAACUGCGUAAUCUUGCAACUGGCAGUUGCUAGUCAGUUCAGACCUGCUUCUGAAGCCUUGAAAUGGAUGGUCCCCAGUUAGUUUUACCACAUAUUCAGUUAUCAGAAAAAUGCUAUGCACUUCAGCAGUUUCUGCCUUUAAUUAAUACACUUGUAACUGGAGUUUGGCACACAUUGGGAAAUGCUUUGUUUUAUGCACUUGUCAAUUAUGCACACAAUGGCUAUCCAGUAAUGAGGUGCUUUGUGGUGCUUGUACAAAGUUUUUGCUUCUAGGAAAUAGCACUGGAUCCCUGGGGCCUAUAGGAGUGGUCCCCAGCCUAUGGCAUGUCUGUAACAUAGUGCCUAUACCACCCUCUCAAGUUGCUUGCAACCACAGAAAGUUAAAAUUUGAAGUAGACAGAACAAAACGUGAUGUUGCCCAUAGCUUGUUAUUUGUUCAAUAGUGGGCAUGUCUACACAUGGAAUUAACGUACCUGAAUAAACUGGAGCUUAUUGCACAUGGGCAUUUGUAUGUGUGCCCAGGACCAAUAAACUCAGGAGCAAUAAACUCUGGAGUUUAUUGGUGCGUAGCACAUUGAGCUGGGUUGAAGCCGCCUUGGCUGGCAGGGGGCCCCCGAGGUAAGCCUGCCAGCCUCAGGCUGCUCCCCCCUGGUUCAACAUGCAGCAAAGGGGCUUGCUGAGGCACGAGUGUGCUUCAGUGCAGGGCUAGCCAGCAGGCAGCCCCCAGACUGAAGCACUCUCAUGCCCCAGCCAGCCCCUCCAGCAUCUACACAUGAGCUGCUGUGGAAUUUUUUUCUGCACAGUAGGAUAGGACUUGUAUUUACUAUCCUGCUAUGGCAUAAAUUAGUUUAGUCCAGCCUAAUAGUGGUGCAUGUGUAGACGCUGAGAUGUUUACUGUGUAGCUAAUUAGUCAACUGUGCAGGAAAUGCACCUUCUGUUGCCUAAAGGCCAGCAAAGGAUGGGGACUACUCUGUCCCACUUCUACCAAUCAGGUUAGUGCUUGAAUUGUACAACAUGAAAUAUGUUUCUGAAUUUCACAACCAAAGCAACCUUUAAAAAAAAGUUAGGGAAGAAAAUUACUGGAUUUUAUAUCCAAGGUAAAUUUUCUUUUACUGAUCAAUUCUGCCAUUCAGGCUCCUAUCCAGAAAUAGAAUUUGUGCAGAUAGGAGGACUGGUAUCAAGACUUAGUGACCAUUUUUACAUUUAAUAGCUGUGAUAUUCUAGUCUAAAGAGUUUUAGAUUCAAACUACCUUCAAGAUUUGCUUUUAUUUUGACAAAUUGAAUGUGUUCUAAACAGACAAAUAAUGUCUCUGAAAUAUCACCAUGAGGAUAACUAAAUUCGUUACUCUUCCUUUCGGGCCUGUGUGCUCUGUCUAUUCUGCUGUAUAUGUUGUAAGUUACUUAAGUACUUCAAUUGGUUUUAGCUCUAAAGGCAGGUGUUAAGCUAAGGUCAGACUACCACAGCUAGCUAUCUCUCUCUACAAUUACUUGAGACACUUAACCCAGGAAGUCCCUUUCCUCUUUUAUGGGAGUUUUUAAAAUUCUGAGGAGAACAUGAAUAAUAAUUAGGCUACUUAUUCCAAUAGGCAACGACUUCUUUAUUCCAGGCUACCUAAAGAAGUUGUGGAAUCUCCAUCCCUGGAAUUUUUCAAGAACAGCCUAGGGCAGUUUAGUCAGGAAUAAUCCUGCCUUGAGCAGGAGGUUGGACCAGAAUCUAGAUGACCUUAUGAGAUACUUUCCAGCCCUACAAUCCUAUGAUCCUAACAUUUAUUCUAGUAUCUAUGCAAGAAUUCAAAGUAGAGGAAUGUUAUAUUAAAAUGGCUGCAAAGACAAAUAUAAUAAAAAUACUGCAAGGGAUAUACGUUUCUUCAGAGCAACAUUCUAAACACGGCAAUAGAUGAAGAUGAAUGUAAGCCUAAUUUAAAGAGUAAAUCAACCAGUAUGAACGAUCAAUAAAACUGAAGAUUUCAGCAUUGGUCUUCAGAACAUGAGAGACUAUUUUUGCAUGUCGAACUUUGGAUGCUUGUGACCUGAUUUCAGCUUUUCAACUACUUUUCGCACCUCUGAAAAUUAGAUUCUGUAGAGAAGAUUGUACUCAUAGUUUUCCAGAAUGUAAUGACAGAAUCUACAUUAUUUGGUUAAAUUUUAUAUAAUAAUUCUGAACCUAAAACAACAUUUUUAUUUUCUUGUUUUCAUUAAUAAUAUAUCUCAAGAUUACAAUAUCAGAAGUUUAUGGAAACAUCUUCCAGGACCUCGCUUCAUAUUUAAUUGCUCAAGACCAGUUUAUUAUAAAAGAAAUGUUGUUCUGUAUAGAAUUUUUAUGGUUUCAGAGGAUCAGUCCUGAGCCUAAUGGGCGUCUGUGUGCAUGCUCUUUUAAUGAUCCCCACUUGGUGAGAUACCAGCAGAACCAAGUUAAUUGUUGGUGCUGUACACAGAUGCCUGCCUCUCUCUGUGCCAGCCUCUUAUUGAUGUUUUCUGUUCUUUCAUCAUGCAUUUUGAAAUCGAAUUUGGAAAAGACUGACAUACGGUUGAUAACUCCAUAUAUUUGCUAGCUAAUCACUUCCUCCUUCAUAUAAGCAUUAAUGAUGCAACCAGAUUUUUCUUUCAGAAUGGGGAAUCAAAAAGUGAUUAUAGAUCAUUCAUUUGACUCUUAACAGUCAAUCAGUGAUUUAAUCCUCUUUUUGUUUUUGUGCAGCCUGACUGAAACUGUUCUCUCUCUCUCUCUCUCUCUCUCUAAUGCUCAUUAAAUGUUCAUCAUCUACCCUAGUAAUGUUACAUCUUUAUAAUGAGCUUCCUAGCGCAUACUCAGAAGCAAUAGGGCCUGAUUCUCAUGCCCCUUUAUACUGCCAGACUGGUUUAAAAGGGCAUAGAGUAUAAAUGAGAAUCAACAUGAUACAAUAAAAAGUGGAGUGUUAUAUAGUGCUUUCAGUACAUACUCAAAAUGUUAUUGAUCAUAUCAGUAGUUAAUCACUAAAUAUAUAUUAGUUUCAACCAUAUCUCCUUUAACUACUAAUGUUCCAUAGGUUUCCAUAUUCCAAAAUCACAUUUCACUUAUAUCAGGCAAGAGAUUAAUGUGUGCAGCAAAAUUCUGCAAUAGUACAACUAUUCUAACAUGUACCUUCUAAGCGUUUACUGACAUCCUCCCACUAAUUGAUAACUUAAAAUCUGUUGGGACAUUUUUCUGAGCAGCAAUAUUAAACCACAGUGUGCCAACAAUAAUACUCAGUUAUUGAGUAUACUAUUUUAUAUAUAUAUAUAUAAAUAUUAUAAGAUUUACUUAAAGAAAAGCAAAAUAAUAUUGACCUUCACCCUACUCCAGUUAUCUGACUCCUUUAUGGGACAGAGUGAACCGACUGGGUCAAAGUCACACAGCUAAUCAGUCACAGAAAUUAAUAUUAACAACGUAUCCUACCCCUAGUCCCACUUUUAACCACUGGACCAAGCUGCAUUUCCACCAGAGCUCUGCACCCUGGACAUGGGUGAUUCAAGAGCCAGCUACAGUAGCCAUUUUUGUGACCUGUCCUCCCAAAGAUUGUGCCCAAUGCCCUAGUUGCUUCCCCCUUCCCCACAAUUAUGCUAGAGAUAUCCAUCAUGUUGAAGGGUCUGAAUUUGGAAAUGUCUUAAAGAAUGGCUAUUUGGUGGCCAUAAGUCUUAAGACUACAGACCUUAGAAAACUGAAUAUCCACAGACUUUAGAAAACCACUGUCUUGCCUUAGAAGACAAAAUUUAAAACAAUUUUAUAAAGGUUUUUUUUUUAAUUGAACAAGAGAGGUUUGAUUUCUUUGAGGAUAUUAUCUUCUAGGUUUUCCAUCACCUUUAGCUGGUUUUGGAUGACAGUUUUAAAGAGCACAGUUAUUUGGAGAAGGUUUUAUUUUCUAGUUGUAACUGAAAUCUUUACUGGUAGGUACAAAUUAGUGCUAUGCAGACCCAAGGAAGAGCUGCAAGCAAAAGCAGCUUCAUGAGCUCCGUAAUGUCCUUAAGCAUCCAAUACUGCAGGUGGGAAAGUGGCACAGUUCAGGGGCAUGCUAGCCCUGUCCCUAUUCUUCUGGUUACAUCCUGAAUGUCACAAUGUGAUUGUACCUUAUACUGUCUCCCAUUUUCCCUCAUUCUACAUCAGACUGUAUUGUGUUCCAUUUCCUCAUCUUCUGCAUUGUAUGCUUCAGUGGCCCUAACUUUGGAAUUUAGAAACCAUAUGCAAAUAUGUAAAAAAGCUUAUGAGUAUGGAAGACACUGGAAUUUAUAAAAAUUCUAAAAUAAAACCUAUACACUGGCAUCAAUGAGGUGGCCCUUUGGCCAUGUCCACACAAGUGUGGACAUUUGGUUCUCUGGGGACAACUAACAGCAGGACACUUUGUGCUGCCACUAGUUGUCCCCAGGGAAUGCCCGUAUCACAUGCCCUCUGGCGUGUGGUAGGUUACCCCGCAUGGGGUAGGGGAGACUGGGGCCAGCACUGGGGCUUCCUGGGGCUGCAGUAGUGGUAAUCCUGUCGCUCAGAGCCUAGCUGGAAGAUGGAGUGUGGCUCCAGCCAGCCAGGCUGCACUCUUGAGUGGCAUGCACUGUCCCCAUGUGCACCGCUCCACUUUUUUGUGUGUGCAGGUUUUACAACUCCUGGAUAUCAUGUCUGCAGCACCACUGCACAGUUGCGCUCAUCUGGAUGCAGACCUUAUGUCCAAAAGGGCUAAAUAUACAAAGAGAAUGGCCAUCGACUACAUUAGGUCUGUCUCUGCAUUUCCUCUUUUGAUUGUUGUGCUGUUAUCAUUUUUGUAAUAAAUCUUAGCACUUUUCCAUGUUUUGUGGCAGACUUCCCUUCAUGUAGGUAAUCAUUAUAGAGGGAAUGGCUGAUUUAAAAAAAAAAAAAAAAUGGCUGGUGAGCCUUUUGGGCUUUCUGGGAUGCUCCUGACUUUAACCCCCCUCCCCACCUCCCUCUGGAUUCAGUGGCUGAAACCUUAUUGUACAUACCUUUUUCUGAGGCAUAUAAAUCCACGUAGGACAUUCUUGAAGUUCUCUUUGGAAUGAAAACCAGAGUGUGGUAUGUUUAUCUUGUUGAGAGGAAGUUCUGCUUUUUUCUGAUGAAACUUCCUUUUUAGGGAACAUCUGCUCUCUUUUGCCCUCCUCCACUGGCACAAAAGUGCCUGCAUGUGUGAUUCACUUGCUCCCAAAUCAACAUGCAGGAAACCUAUGGCUGGUUACUCACUCUGUCCCUUUACGGACAACUACUAAAAUUUACCCUGAAAAGUCAAAAGCAUUGUAUUUAUCUAGUUGUCUUCUUUGAAGGUCAUCCUUGUGUAAUUCUUAAAAUGAGAGAUCAGUUUACAGACAGAUGUUCUUCAGCUCAGAUCAGCAGCUUGACCUAGGCUUUUCUCUCUCUCUCUCUCUCUCUCUCUCUCUCACACACACUUUAAUGCCUUCAGAGCUUUCACAAGAGGUGAAGUACACUAUGCCUUCACUCAAGUGACUUAGCUUCACUCAAAUAAGAAAGGCCGGUGCAAGGCCCAGCACAUUACUUAUGUUCCACAUAAAGGGCUUAGGUGAUACAAUAGAGCCUUACUAUGGUUAAUUUUAAAUGGUUAUUUGUAAUCUUUUUUGCUGUAUUAUUCCAUUGGCAGGCCCCCAAUGGAGAAUGCCUAUUCUUUGUGCUGCAUAUUUCAUCCUGGUCACUGCCACUGGGUGGAAAACAGUCUUGAUAGGAAAUAAAUAGAUCUGAGAUAGCUAUUUAGGUGUCUGUAUCGGAAACAGAAGGCCUUAGUCAGACCGGGAUCUGGCACCAGCAGUGACUUAGUGACUAACAACGCUGAGCAUGGACUUUUUAUCUUCAAGGACACAGGAUGCUGUAUUCUGUACCAGCUAAGUUUCUUUGGCUAGAUACAGACUUUACACCUAUCUUGCUUUAGGGAGGCAGAAUGAACUCUAAGUUAACCCUCAGUGGAUGAGGUGUAUUAGACUAAAGUGCUUUCUGUUACAGCACUUUUUCAAACGUCUGUGCCAGAUCCCAUCGAGGCUUAACAGAGAGUGUGACCAAGGCCAUCCCAGGAGGCGUUAUACAGGGCUGUACUUUAGACUCAGGCAGAACUCCUGUACUCUGCCCAAGUGCUGGGUUGGCCCUGCCCCCUUGGCUGUCACUGACGCAGAGGGGGCUGGGAAGAGGGGCCACUCCAGCAGUCUCCUGGGAGAUUACAGAAGGGUACCUAGCAGUCAAUGAGGGCAGGCUCCGAGCCCUUCCACUGUAUUUUUGGUUAGCUCAUGCUUUAACUUGUAGCACUUUUAAGUAAAGUGCUAUAGAGUGCUUAUGCCAGGGGCUCUGUGAACAUCUUGCCUUUGCUACCUUCACAUUCAGUAUGGAUAUUAGCAAGUUACAGCACACCAGGCUGGAAAUGAUGAAUGCCUGGCUAAUUAUCAGGAAGAAUAGGUGUUGUCUCUUGGGAAACGGGGGGUGAAGAGAAGGUAUUUUCUAGCCACUUGCUACCUAGGUAUUUGGGUUUGAAAGACUGUAAAGUUUGAUAAAUAAAGGGCUGAAAACAAACCAGACUGAAAAGAAACAGAACAACCGCUUACUUCAGUUUAUUAAACAAAAAGGCCCCCAAAUCAGAUUUUUUGUAACUGGGUUUAACCCAGCAAGUGAAAGUCAUUCUGCUUGCUUGCACUCAUUCUGCAUUUAACUCAAAAUGUAAGUAAAAUUCAGUUGUUCAAAUUAUAUUAACAAAUCUAGUAUACCGACUAUAUUGUUUCUGCCUUCUUCAAAUAAAGUAACAAGUUACAUGC